RNAcentral lists this ribosomal RNA (253 nucleotides) under uncultured bacterium. RNAcentral's name for it is "partial 16S ribosomal RNA". It matches the Rfam family "Bacterial small subunit ribosomal RNA", at positions 524 to 776 of the family's 1533-position model. The record is from RNAcentral.
GACGAACCGUGCGAACGUUAUUCGGAAUCACUGGGCUUAAAGGGCGCGUAGGCGGGUUGCCAAGUCUGUGGUGAAAUCCUCCGGCUUAACCGGAGAACUGCCGUGGAUACUGGCGACCUCGAGGGGGGUAGGGGCUUGCGGAACUGUGCGUGGAGCGGUGAAAUGCGUUGAUAUGCACAGGAACUCCGGUGGCGAAGGCGGCGAGCUGGACCCUUUCUGACGCUGAGGCGCGAAAGCCAGGGGAGCAAACGGG